GAACGCACCUUGCGCCCUUUGGUAUUCCGAAGGGCAUGCCUGUUUGAGUGUCAUUAAAUUAUCAACCUUGAAUUUGUGCUUGCACCUCUUCUCGGCUUGGAUCUGAGGGUUUUUGCUGGCUUCCUUCAGUGGAUGGUCUGCUCCCUUUAAAUGCAUUAGCGGAAUCUCUUGUGGACCGUCUCUCGGUGUGAUAAUUAUCUAUGCCGUAGGGCUUUGAAGCAAACUUUAUGGGAAUCUGCUUAUAACCGUCCUUCAGUUGGACACUAUUUUAAUAACAUCUUGACCUCAAAUCAGGUAGGACUACCCGCUGAACUUAAG
This 318-nucleotide unclassified non-coding RNA is filed under the name Mycena polyadelpha. Its description in RNAcentral is "sequence contains 5.8S rRNA gene". The stretch from base 1 to 53 matches the Rfam family "5.8S ribosomal RNA", at positions 102 to 154 of the family's 154-position model. The record is from RNAcentral. Lineage: Eukaryota; Fungi; Basidiomycota; Agaricomycetes; Agaricales; Mycenaceae.